AGCUUUUUCUAGGUGGAAAGAGCUAAUGCUUGAUAAAGAUUUCAAAAGAGACACUGAAGUGGCCAGUUUUCUUCUCGACAGGUAAGUCAGUGUUACAAUCUAUAUUAUAAUAUUUUUUUUAUAUCUAACAAUGCAUAUAAUUCAGAAAAUAUAACGAAUAAAGAAGACAUAACUACUAAUUACAAUAUUUAAUGUUUUCCACAGUCAGUAAUUCAUACUGUAACAUUCGUUUGUUAGUUGUCAUGUUGCAGUUUGUUUGAAAUAACACACCUGUUCACCUGAAGGAAAACUCGACGAAGUGCUAUUAGAAGACAUCCUGUCAAAGCUUUUUGGUACAUAUCGCCUACCGUAGAUGCAACGCGCAUUUGAAAAAGCGAGGCGCUGGCGAGCAAAAUUAGUUUGAAUGCAAAAUACAAUUUCACCACUAGAUGGGAGUAAUUCCUGCUUAGUGUCCCUUUAAUACAAUCGAUUCGUUGAAGUAUUCAUCGAGAACAGACACCCCAUUACUGUGUGUUUCCCACUGAAGCUAUUAAGCUAACCAUUUAUCAUGCUUAGCGGACGCGUCUGCUUCUUUAAAUUCUCGAGCUCAUUACAGCAGGAUUGAUUCUGGUUGGCAAUGUUUUUAUCAUUCAUCAGAAAAAAAAUCGUUCCGAAAGUGAUUCCAACGAUAUCGUCUCUCUGUGCCUUUAUCGUUAUAGUUGUGGUGUGGACUCCGCUAUUCUUUAAUAUUGAGAACGAUUUUUAGAACUAUAUCUUUAUCUUUGUCUUUAUAAUUAUCGUGCUUGGUGUGAACGGGCCUUUUGGCAUUGUUUGGAACAGGUGAUACGGUUUCUAAAAGUUUCAUGGAGGAAGUUUGGAGAAAUGUGUGAAAUCAGUAAAGUGCGCAGCGCCGACCGAUCAUCGAUGAAACAGAAACAAACAAAUGCAGAGGAGACGUAAAGGACGACAGAGCGUACAAAUUAAAGGCCUCCCUCUCUCUUUCUGCUGCUGACUGGGUCUUACCUCCACUGGGACAACCCAUCGUCAUCUUUCAUCUCCCCUGCAUACAUUAACUCUGUUGUCAUGGUGCUGACCGGUGUGUGCUUGCCGUAGGGACAGACUACUGUCUCCCAGACCCUGGAGCAGGUGAUCAGUGAGUGACAGGAGCCCCCCAGGACGGGACCCCCCAUCCCUCACUUUGGGAUGGAGCUAUAGAGAUGAGGAGAAGCGAUAAACAACAGAUGUUUCGACAAGGGAGAGAGAGAGAGAAGGAUUGUGGGGAGACAAUAAAGAGAGGGAGAUAGAGCGUGAAGGGAGAGGGAGAGGACUGGAGAGGUUUAAAAUAAUUAAAGAGGGUGGAAAUCCCUGGAGAGACUGAAGCAGAGGUGUUCCAGCUGCUGAAGGCAAAGUGCUGCCACAGCACCAUGAAACUUCACAAAUGUGUAAAACAGUUGGACACUCAUGGACUGAGGAAGUUUAGGUCCUCAUGCAAGCUACUAAAUCCAAAAGUUGAAGUCAAAUUGAGAGAUGGAGGAGGACUCUGUUCACAUUAAUAUCCCUGGAGGAAGAGAGGUCACAUAGGCUUUGUUCAGACAGGCAGCAGAAAUCCGUUUUUUGGCUUAUCCCACUUAAAUCUAUUUCAUUCUUUGUAGUCUGAACUGAGAGGGCAGGGUUUGGCUGGUUAGCAUGACCCUGUUAGCCCCUGCCGCUAGAAGUUAUAGCUACUCCAUCUGGCAGUAAAGAGCAUCUUUGCUCCAUUGAUGCCCAAUAUUUUGAUGGAAUGCAUUUUCUUUGGGUUUCAUCAAUUUCUCUAAAAUGUAAUUAUAUCUGAUAUUGCAUGUUUUACCAUUGACCAAUUUUUUCUGGAGGUCUCUUCAAAGUGUGAAAGUGUUUUCUCCCCAGUCUGUUGCUGCUUGUUAUAUAGAAAGGUUAUAUGUGAAGAUUCUUCAAAAUUUUCCGUUUGUGUUUUAUUUGACCUAAGGGUGAGUAAAUGAAAGAAAUUAUAUUUUGGGUGAACCACUAUUCCUUUAUUUUACUUACAAUGAAAGUUCAGGGUAAGGCUGGCUUCUAGGACUGUGCAACUCAAAAUGAACAAAAUACAGUAAAACAAUACUAUUGUGAAAUAUUAUUACAAUUUAAAACUUUUUUUUUUUCUAUUGUAAUAUGUUUUAAAAAUGUAAUGAAACCAGGUUUACAGGUUACGUUGUUUCAUUUAAUGCACAAAAACAUUUCAACAGUGUUGAACAGGAGUUAAAAGAUUGGAUAAAACUUUUUAAUGACAAGCUAUUCUUGUCUCAUGUUAACACAUAGGACUAAACCUACUAACAGCUUGCGCUAGAGCAUACUGUCUUUUGCCGGUAAAAUAGUACUGUCAGAAUUUACAAAAUAUGCGCAGUGAAGAAUUGGCAUUAAAAAGGCACGGACACACUUUUUUUUAAAGCUUUUUUUUGUGCCUUACCUUAUUGAAUAUGAAUUUAUAGUAGUUUCCCUUUCAGACACAAAACAGGGGGUGAGUAUUAAAAUGAAUCGCGCAAAACAAGAUUUACUAAUGUUUGCACUCAUCAAAUUACUGGUAUUUUGGUCAUUAUUUAAUGCCACAAAAAGCAUGUCUUAUAGCUGGCAGUAAUUGGCAAUAACUGAAUUUUCCCCUCCCAUCUGCAUUUUAUGGAAUUGUGCUGCAAUGCUAAUUUACCUUGUUUAGAAAUCUGGCCCAAUAAUGUUUAAUAAUGAUAAUAAUGUUUUACUUUUAAG
Molecule: long non-coding RNA, 2730 nt
Organism: Carassius gibelio (silver crucian carp)
Lineage: Eukaryota; Metazoa; Chordata; Actinopteri; Cypriniformes; Cyprinidae
Exons: 3
Source: RefSeq, a predicted model, not a curated record